UAAUUAUUUAUUGAAACUUAAAUAAUUUGGCGGUAUUUUAGUUCAUUUAGAGGAAUCUGUUUAUUAAUUGAUAAUCCACGAAUGAAUUUACUUAAUUUAAAAUUUUGUAUAUCGUUGUUAAAAAAAUAUUUUUAAAUGAAAAUAAUAUUUUAAUUUUAUAAUUAAAAAUUAAAUCAGAUCAAGAUGCAGAUUAUAAUUAAGAAUAUAAUGGAUUACAAUAAAUUUAUUUAAAUGGAUUUUUUUUUGUAAUAAAAAUUUGAAAGUGGAUUUAAAUGUAAUUUUAUUUAUUUUAAUAAAAUGAUUAUAUAUUAAAAUAUGUACAUAUUGCCCGUCGCUUUCAUAAAUAAAUUGGAAUAAGUCGUAACAAAGUAGAGGUACUGGAAAGUGUUUCUAGAAAUAA
Molecule: ribosomal RNA, 400 nt
Filed under: Ostrinia furnacalis (Asian corn borer)
Lineage: Eukaryota; Metazoa; Arthropoda; Insecta; Lepidoptera; Crambidae
Description: partial 12S ribosomal RNA
Source: RNAcentral